Molecule: long non-coding RNA, 633 nt
Filed under: Struthio camelus australis
Lineage: Eukaryota; Metazoa; Chordata; Aves; Struthioniformes; Struthionidae
Description: lncRNA (ENSSCUG00000010998.1)
Source: RNAcentral
CUGCCCUUUGUACUCUGGAAGCCCAGUAAAGGCCCUGGCAGGACAUCACACAGCCUCGCAGUCCAACUUGCCAGCUAUUUGUGGAACUCUGCUGCGGUGUCACCGAGAAACAGAGUUGGAGGUGACAGUUCAGAUUUUGCAUCCUCCUUCCGGAAGCCAUUUCAGUUAUGCAGCCAGUUAUGUAUCUUACUGUGCAUUUAUAGCUUAAGGAAUCACUUGCAGAUGAAAAUAGUCCUGAGCGCAGCAGAGAUGGACAUAGAGCGAAGGCAAAGAUCCACUGAUAACACGCAAACUGGAGCCUGCUUGCUGUUGUCUGAGAUAUGACAUCACAGCUAACAAGGGAGACUAAGAAGUAGAUGCCAGACAGAAGUAUCUUGGAUACAUGUACAAUGAAAUCUCAGAGCUGCAAGCAAAGUCUGGAAUUACGUAACAAGGAGUAAGUUUUCCAACUGCGGCAGAUUGCCAUGUAAGGAGAGCUGGCAUAAGCGAGGAGCGACAGAGGAAUCGCCAUGCCUGACUACAGACCUCUGCGGAAAUACAGUAUGUGCUGGGCUUUCUUGAGUUGUGUUGGGUUUUGUUGUUGUCUUUUGGGGCGGGAGGUGCAUACGGAUGCUAGACUUCAUUGGAAGAGGA